GAUGAACGCUGGCGGCGUGCCUAAUACAUGCAAGUCGAGCGAACGGACGAGAAGCUUGCUUCUCUGAUGUUAGCGGCGGACGGGUGAGUAACACGUGGAUAACCUACCUAUAAGACUGGGAUAACUUCGGGAAACCGGAGCUAAUACCGGAUAAUAUUUUGAACCGCAUGGUUCAAAAGUGAAAGACGGUCUUGCUGUCACUUAUAGAUGGAUCCGCGCUGCAUUAGCUAGUUGGUAAGGUAACGGCUUACCAAGGCAACGAUGCAUAGCCGACCUGAGAGGGUGGUCGGCCACACUGGAACUGAGACACGGUCCAGACUCCUACGGGAGGCCGCAGUAGGGAAUCUUCCGCAAUGGGCGAAAGCCUGACGGAGCAACGCCGCGUGAGUGAUGAAGGUCUUCGGAUCGUAAAACUCUGUUAUUAGGGAAGAACAUAUGUGUAAGUAACUGUGCACAUCUUGACGGUACCUAAUCAGAAAGCCACGGCUAACUACGUG
RNAcentral lists this ribosomal RNA (497 nucleotides) under uncultured bacterium. RNAcentral's name for it is "partial 16S ribosomal RNA". It matches the Rfam family "Bacterial small subunit ribosomal RNA", at positions 28 to 507 of the family's 1533-position model. The record is from RNAcentral.